UAGCAUGGAAUAAUGAAAUAGGACGUGUGGUUCUAUUUUGUUGGUUUCUAGGACCGCCGUAAUGAUUAAUAGGGACAGUCGGGGGCAUCAGUAUUCAAUUGUCAGAGGUGAAAUUCUUGGAUCUAUUGAAGACUAACUACUGCGAAAGCAUUUGCCAAGGAUGUUUUCAUUGAUAAGGAACGAAAGUUAGGGGAUCGAAGACGAUCAGAUACCGUCGUAGUCUUAACUAUAAACUAUGCCGACUAGGGAUCGGACGAUGUUAUCUUUUGACUCGUUCGGCACCUUUCGAGAAAUCAAAGUGCUUGGGCUCCAGGGGGAGUAUGGUCGCAAGGCUGAAACUUAAAGAAAUUGACGGAAGGGCACCACCAGGGGUGGAACCUGCGGCUUAAUUUGACUCAACACGGGGAAACUCACCAGGUCCAGACACAGUGAGGAUUGACAGAUUGAUAGCUCUUUCUUGAUUCUGUGGGUGGUGGUGCAUGGCCGUUCUUAGUUGGUGGAGUGAUUUGUCUGCUUAAUUGCGAUAACGAACGAGACCUUAACCUGCUAAAUAGCCCUUAUUGCUUCGGCAGUAUGCUGGCUUCUUAGAGGGACUAUCGGCUCAAGCCGAUGGAAGUUUGAGGCAAUAACAGGUCUGUGAUGCCCUUAGAUGUCCUGGGCCGCACGCGCGUUACACUGACAAAGCCAGCGAGUAUUUCCUUGGCCGGAAGGCCCGGGUAAUCUUGUUAAACUUUGUCGUGCUGGGGAUAGAGCAUUGCAAU
This 761-nucleotide ribosomal RNA is filed under the name uncultured Sordariomycetes. RNAcentral's name for it is "SSU rRNA". It matches the Rfam family "Eukaryotic small subunit ribosomal RNA", at positions 805 to 1590 of the family's 1831-position model. Lineage: Eukaryota; Fungi; Ascomycota; Sordariomycetes. The record is from RNAcentral.